GUAGGUGAACCUGCGGAAGGAUCAUUGACAAAUCUAACUAAAACACUGCCUCCUUCUCUCCUUCUUGGGGGGAAGCGCAGAAUUUCUAACCUGUGAAUCGGCAGUCUCGCAAGAGCUGUUUGCGUGUUUGGUGUUGGGUUGCUGCUGCUUCGGCAGCGGUGACUUUAGCCAAACUGCACACACAUAAACGUCUAACAAAUUUGUCUAAGCAUUUUUUGCAUAAAACAAAAACAACUUUUAGCAAUGGAUC
RNAcentral lists this unclassified non-coding RNA (250 nucleotides) under plant metagenome. Its description in RNAcentral is "partial contains small subunit ribosomal RNA, internal transcribed spacer 1, and 5.8S ribosomal RNA". The record is from RNAcentral.